CCCCUCCCACGUGCCCGCUAUUCAGCUGCCUGCAAGAUUCAUCUUUGUCGUGACAGAGUGGAUGAAGCCAAAGGACUCGAGUGGUGACCAGGAAGUGACAUCCCCCCCUCCCGCAUGUUCGUGUUUCUGCUGCCUUCAAGGUUCUUCUUUGUCCAGGCCGAAUUGAUCAAGCUGAAAGCGAACACCAGUGAGUCUACUAGUUGACGGAUGACAUCGGAUCUCUUCAGCAAUCCAGUGCA
Molecule: long non-coding RNA, 239 nt
Organism: Photinus pyralis (common eastern firefly)
Lineage: Eukaryota; Metazoa; Arthropoda; Insecta; Coleoptera; Lampyridae
Exons: 3
Source: RefSeq, a predicted model, not a curated record